This is a long non-coding RNA of Carassius auratus (goldfish), 1076 nucleotides long. RefSeq lists it as uncharacterized. The record is from RefSeq and is a predicted model, not a curated record. The transcript has 3 exons. Lineage: Eukaryota; Metazoa; Chordata; Actinopteri; Cypriniformes; Cyprinidae.
AAAACAACAGAAGAAGAAAUAAGGACGGUGCGCAUGCGCAGCAAGCAAAGUUUUGAAGCUGCGUCGAAUUUGCUGAAACUGAGAAGUAAAAAGACUGUUUACAUUUCACCUCUGGACAAAGAAUGAUUGAUUACUUCUACACAAUAAUAAUAAGGAAAAAAGCUUGUGUCAGCUGUCUUCUCUGAGCAGCGGUCUUGUGAUCACCGGUCUCAGUAUAAUAAAGGUGUCUGAUGCUGAUGCAGUCUGGGCACUAGUAUCUGUUGGCUUGCUGACUAUCACUGACGAUGAAGUACUUCUCCAAAUCUUGACCCAGUGUCUUCUGCCAUCAUUGUUCAGGGUAGUACUGCAAAGAAUAGUCUCCAGGGUCUGCCUCCAACAUUUGCUUCCCGACCACCAUGUGCUACGUUUGCAUCACUGCUACAUGUGGGUUACCCUGAUACUGUGAAGAGCGCCUACAAUAUGAUGCUUGACUUGGGACAGAAAAAAAAACAUUGGCAACUUGUGUGGCCAACUCAUUGCCGUAUUUAAAAUCAUUGUACUGCUACCUCCAUUGUUUAACAUAACUAAAAGCAGAUUGUUUUUGCUUUGUUUCAAAAUUUUUGUAAUACGAGUUAAAACUACAUUGAAAAAAAUAUAUCAUCUUUAACUUUGAACUGUCACUACAUUUGAUUUAGGGUAAUGUGUGUGAAGAAUAGAACAUUAAAGGCAAUUGGUCAACUAGAUUUCUGUUCAAGUAAAUACAACUUAGAAAUUCCAAGUUGCAGGAAAUGUUUCUUGAUUUAGCUAAAUUUAAAUUAGUUGUUUGAAAUACGUACAUAGUAUAAUGUACUUAAUUUAGUUGUUGAAAAUAGUAAUUCUGAGUUACACGUUUACAACACUUAUAAAUAAACCUUUGUUAGUACAAAUUACUAUUCUUAUUUCACUUGUUUUUUUCAAGGCAAUCGGUUUGCAUGCUUUUUUUUAAAUAAGGUUUACUCAUUAUAAUUUACAGUGCAGACAACCUCCCUGCUCAGUGCACACUAGUGAGAUAAAAUCAAAACACUGUAAUUGUAAUAAAGUACUGUUACUAUACUGUA